AUUUCGAGAAUUAAUCGUUCGUAUCGAUUCGACUCUGUACAGCAAGAGUAAUUCAGUCAUCAUGAAGAUUUUUUCAAUCGUAACUUUCGUUGUAAUGCUGAUUGCAGUUGUUAGUGGACAGCCUGGUUGUGGAGGACGUGGACGUCGGUGCCGAUUACAUCAUGAGUGUUGUGGAAGCCUUCUUUGUCGUAGCAGAAGAUGUCAAUAAAUUAAAAUCUAAUCAAUUUUACCCAAUGUCUACUUUGGAAUGAGAUGCAGACUGGAAAGUCCAUUAUCCAACGGCCCAUGAUUGUUUUAUGUGCGAACUCCAUUACUACAAUUAAUAUUUAAUUAUUAUAAUUACUAGUUUGUUGAAAUAUUUCCAUCCAUUGGCCCAUGGAAAUAUCCAUGCAAAUCCAUAAUUAAUUAAAAAUUAAUUGAUGUAAUUCAUCGUUUUAGUUGUCACUUGAAAUUUUGAAAAUGUAAUUGAAAUUAAUUGUAAUUGAAAAGUUCAACUUUGUAUGCGUUAAAAUACAUUAAAAAUACAAAAAACUGAUAAGAUAUUGAUUCUCUGUUGACACACCGCGAUGAACUGCUUGGGGUAUUUUAAUCUGCUCGAUGCAGCAUGCGAAAAUAUUUACACUGAAAAAAUAAACAUUGCAGAAAUGUUCGAGACUCUGUUCUCGUAUAAAAGCAAUAAAAUUCACCUGCCGUUGCCUGCGGUGAAAUUCAGGUCUGCGUCAUGAAGUUCUUAUCAAUUUUCAUGUUCUUCGUAAUGCUGACUGCUGCUGUCACAGAACACCAUUUUUUCAAGGGAUAAUUAAUAAAAAUUAAUAAUUGAUAAAAAGAUCCACAAUAUUCUGAUAAAGAAUUUUAAAAUUGUGAUAAAAUGUUGAUACACAUUAAUAAAUUUAAUGGUAAAUAUUUUUAUCUGUUUGAUGAAAUAUGAGAGAACAUUUUGAAAAGGAAAGAUAAAUCUUGGUGGAAUAAAUAUUGUCCACUUGUGGGAGACUUGGUCCUUAUAUAAAGACGAUCACUCUGACCACUCAGCACUGAUUUUAAAAUUCGUUGAGAAGUCUAAGGAAAAGUUUUUAUUGCAUCAUGAAAAUUCUAUCAAUUGUGACUUUCAUCGUAAUGCUGAUUGCAGCUGUCAGCGGACAAUGUCGAAGACGCGGUCGUCGGUGUCAAUUCCAUCACCAGUGUUGUGCAAGGUUACUUUGCCGCGGAGGAGCUUGUAUGUGAAAAUUCGCAUGUGCGUAAUAAUUCUCAUUUUUCCGGAAAUAAUUGCCGAAUCUGCACGGAGAAAAAUUUACAGCCGAAUUUCCUCUGGUGUUUUGAUAAAAAAAAAAUAUGACGCCUUCAGCAAAAAUUAACAAACGUCACUGCAAAUUUUACAACAAAUUUUUCGCGGUGUAUUACGCGAAUUAAAGUAAUUGACUCCCAAUUAUUUUUCCGUCAACAACAGGAACAUUUUGACGAUUUGCAUACACUGCAGUAAAUCAAUGUUUCAAUAAUUGUUUAUAUAAAUAUAAUUACAAUAAUGUCUAAUUAUUUUCUACUCUUCACAUGAAUGCUUGCAAAAGAAAUAUAUUUUAUUCAUCUAGUUUCUUUGGAACUGUCUCACCGCCAGAACCUCCAGAUCUUUCCAAUUUUUUUUAAACAAAAAACAUGUAUUUACGUUUUCUGUUAUUAAAAAUAUACUGAACAUGAUGGAGUGGCUUCGACCCUUUAUCAGUUAAGGCAACAUGUCAAAACAUUUGCAUGAGGAAAAAUAAACUUGAGAUAAGACUUGCGAAUACGUAGAGACGGUUGUCGUAUAAAAACGAUCUCUCCGAGCACUUGUCACUGGCAUUAAAAUUUAUCCUCCGUGAAUAACAAACAAUUUAUAAAAUUAAUCAUGAAGUUUAUCGCUAUUCUAACUUUCGUGGCGAUGCUGAUUGCUGCUGCCAAUGCUCAAGGCUGUGCUGCAACGGGACGUCCGUGCAUACGCCAUUCAACUUGUUGCGGAAUACUAGUUUGUCGUCAAGGAAAAUGUGCUCGUUAACUGAAAGAUCCUAAGGAAAUAGACAACUUACCUCGAACUGAAAAUAGCGCAGAGUCCGUGGACGAAUAUUUGCAGAUAAAAAAUGUACAAAAAUCGAUAAAAUAAUUUGUAUAAUAAAUUAAAUAUUAUAAAA
Molecule: long non-coding RNA, 2156 nt
Organism: Fopius arisanus
Lineage: Eukaryota; Metazoa; Arthropoda; Insecta; Hymenoptera; Braconidae
Exons: 5
Source: RefSeq, a predicted model, not a curated record